Molecule: ribosomal RNA, 465 nt
Filed under: uncultured bacterium
Lineage: Bacteria
Description: partial 16S ribosomal RNA
Rfam family: Bacterial small subunit ribosomal RNA
Source: RNAcentral
GACGAACGCUGGCGGCGUGCUUAACACAUGCAAGUCGAACGGAAGGGCCCCUUUGGGGGUACUCGAGUGGCGAACGGGUGAGUAACACGUGAGUAACCUGCCCUUGACUUCGGGAUAACUUCAGGAAACUGGGGCUAAUACCGGAUAGGAAUCCUUGCUGCAUGGUGGGGGUUGGAAAGCUUCGGCGGUUUUGGAUGGACUCGCGGCUUAUCAGCUUGUUGGUGGGGUAGUGGCUUACCAAGGCUUUGACGGGUAGCCGGCCUGAGAGGGCGACCGGCCACAUUGGGACUGAGAUACGGCCCAGACUCCUACGGGAGGCAGCAGUGGGGAAUAUUGCACAAUGGGCGGAAGCCUGAUGCAGCAACGCCGCGUGCGGGAUGACGGCCUUCGGGUUGUAAACCGCAUUCAGCAGGGGCGAAGCUUGUGGUGACGGUACCUGCAGAAGAAGCACCGGCUAACUACGUG